This 292-nucleotide ribosomal RNA is filed under the name uncultured bacterium. RNAcentral's name for it is "partial 16S ribosomal RNA". It matches the Rfam family "Bacterial small subunit ribosomal RNA", at positions 505 to 796 of the family's 1533-position model. The record is from RNAcentral.
GUGUCAGCAGCCGCGGUAAGACGAACCGUGCGAACGUUGUUCGGAAUCACUGGGCUUAAAGGGCGCGUAGGCGGUCUACCAAGUCGGGGUUGAAAUCUUUCGGCUCAACCGGAAAAGUGGCUUCGAUACUGGUAGGCUGGAGGGAGGUAGGGGCGGAUGGAACUUCCGGUGGAGCGGUGAAAUGUGUUGAUAUCGGAAGGAACGCCGGUGGCGAAAGCGAUCCGCUGGACCUCUUCUGACGCUGAGGCGCGAAAGCCAGGGGAGCAAACGGGAUUAGAUACCCUCGUAGUCC